CCUACGGGGGGCAGCAGUGGGGAAUAUUGGACAAUGGGCGAAAGCCUGAUCCAGCCAUGCCGCAUGUGUGAAGAAGGCCUUCGGGUUGUAAAGCACUUUCAGUGGGGAAGAAAGCCUUGGGGCUAAUACCCUCGAGGAAGGACAUCACCCACAGAAGAAGCACCGGCUAACUCCGUGCCAGCAGCCGCGGUAAUACGGAGGGUGCGAGCGUUAAUCGGAAUUACUGGGCGUAAAGCGCGCGUAGGCGGUCUGAUAAGCCGGUUGUGAAAGCCCCGGGCUCAACCUGGGAACGGCAUCCGGAACUGUCAGGCUAGAGUGCAGGAGAGGAAGGUAGAAUUCCCGGUGUAGCGGUGAAAUGCGUAGAGAUCGGGAGGAAUACCAGUGGCGAAGGCGGCCUUCUGGACUGACACUGACGCUGAGGUGCGAAAGCGUGGGUAGCAAACAGGAUUAGAUACCCCAGUAGUC
Molecule: ribosomal RNA, 465 nt
Filed under: Vreelandella stevensii
Lineage: Bacteria; Pseudomonadati; Pseudomonadota; Gammaproteobacteria; Oceanospirillales; Halomonadaceae
Description: partial 16S ribosomal RNA
Rfam family: Bacterial small subunit ribosomal RNA
Source: RNAcentral